Molecule: microRNA precursor, 122 nt
Organism: Vicugna pacos (alpaca)
Lineage: Eukaryota; Metazoa; Chordata; Mammalia; Artiodactyla; Camelidae
Source: Ensembl
AUUAAAAAACAAACAAACAAAGAGAUCAGGGAAUAGAAGUGCAGAGGGAGUAAAAGGAUAGUAGUAACAAUAGCUGAUGUCUGUUGAGUGUUUGCUGUGUGCUUGAUACUGUUCUGAGUCCU